UCAAUCCAGCAUACUACAUAGUAGAAUGACAGUCGAGCGAAUGGAUUAAGAGCUUGCUCUUAUGAAGUUAGCGGCGGACGGGUGAGUAACACGUGGGUAACCUGCCCAUAAGACUGGGAUAACUCCGGGAAACCGGGGCUAAUACCGGAUAACAUUUUGAACCGCAUGGUUCGAAAUUGAAAGGCGGCUUCGGCUGUCACUUAUGGAUGGACCCGCGUCGCAUUAGCUAGUUGGUGAGGUAACGGCUCACCAAGGCAACGAUGCGUAGCCGACCUGAGAGGGUGAUCGGCCACACUGGGACUGAGACACGGCCCAGACUCCUACGGGAGGCAGCAGUAGGGAAUCUUCCGCAAUGGACGAAAGUCUGACGGAGCAACGCCGCGUGAGUGAUGAAGGCUUUCGGGUCGUAAAACUCUGUUGUUAGGGAAGAACAAGUGCUAGUUGAAUAAGCUGGCACCUUGACGGUACCUAACCAGAAAGCCACGGCUAACUACGUGCCAGCAGCCGCGGUAAUACGUAGGUGGCAAGCGUUAUCCGGAAUUAUUGGGCGUAAAGCGCGCGCAGGUGGUUUCUUAAGUCUGAUGUGAAAGCCCACGGCUCAACCGUGGAGGGUCAUUGGAAACUGGGAGACUUGAGUGCAGAAGAGGAAAGUGGAAUUCCAUGUGUAGCGGUGAAAUGCGUAGAGAUAUGGAGGAACACCAGUGGCGAAGGCGACUUUCUGGUCUGUAACUGACACUGAGGCGCGAAAGCGUGGGGGAGCAAACAGGAUUAGAUACCCUGGUAGUCCACGCCGUAAACGAUGAGUGCUAAGUGUUAGAGGGUUUCCGCCCUUUAGUGCUGAAGUUAACGCAUUAAGCACUCCGCCUGGGGAGUACGGCCGCAAGGCUGAAACUCAAAAGGAAAUUGACGGGGGCCCGCACAAGCGGUGGGAGCAUGUGGUUUAUUUCGAAGCAACGCGAAGAACCUUACCAAGGUCUUGACAUCCUCUGACAACCCUAAGAGAUAGGGCUUCUCCUUUCGGGAGCAGAUGAACAGGUGGUGCAUGGUUGGCCGUCAGCUCGUGUCGGGGAUAUGUAGGGGUAGUCCCGACACGAGCGCAUCCCUUGGAUCUGUUGCAUCAUAAGUUUGGCACUCUUAAGGUACUGCUGGUGACAACGAGAGGUGGAUGACUCAAUACUCAUUACCCCUUAGACCUUGGACUCACCCAGU
RNAcentral lists this ribosomal RNA (1209 nucleotides) under bacterium ISTAGS3. Its description in RNAcentral is "bacterial SSU rRNA". It matches the Rfam family "Bacterial small subunit ribosomal RNA", at positions 58 to 1223 of the family's 1533-position model. The record is from RNAcentral.